CGGUGGCGGUAAAGAAAUCAAUUUCUUCUUCUGCUGGAUCCAUCAAUUCAAAGGUGAAAGCGCUUUCUUUGAAUGAUGGUGAGAGUCUUGUCGACGUAGUUCGUAAUCGGAAAAAACAACCACUCAUCGUGGAAUGUCUGAAGAAGGACGAAAGACUUAUAGUAGACAAGCUUGUGGCUAAAGCUUUCUAUUCAGCUGGUAUUCCAUUCAAUGUCCGAAAUAAUAUUGACUUUCAGGUAUUUUUCAUUUCAAUACAAUUUCUGAUAAUUAAUGUGAAUAUUUAGAUUUUCAGAAAUUAAUUCCAAUUUUCUGAAUUUAGGUUAUGUUAGAAGCUGUUGGUCGAUAUGGAUGGGGUUAUGUUC
Molecule: long non-coding RNA, 362 nt
Filed under: Zostera marina
Lineage: Eukaryota; Viridiplantae; Streptophyta; Magnoliopsida; Alismatales; Zosteraceae
Description: long non-coding RNA (ZMAR_LNC006143)
Source: RNAcentral